AGAGUUUGAUCCUGGCUCAGGAUGAACGCUGGCGGCGUGCCUAAUACAUGCAAGUCGAGCGAACGGACGAGAAGCUUGCUUCUCUGAUGUUAGCGGCGGACGGGUGAGUAACACGUGGAUAACCCUACCUAUAAGACUGGGAUAACUUCGGGAAACCGGAGCUAAUACCGGAUAAUAUUUUGAACCGCAUGGUUCAAAAGUGAAAGACGGUCUUGCUGUCACUUAUAGAUGGAUCCGCGCUGCAUUAGCUAGUUGGUAAGGUAACGGCUUACCAAGGCAACGAUGCAUAGCCGACCUGAGAGGGUGAUCGGCCACACUGGAACUGAGACACGGUCCAGACUCCUACGGGAGGCAGCAGUAGGGAAUCUUCCGCAAUGGGCGAAAGCCUGACGGAGCAACGCCGCGUGAGUGAUGAAGGUCUUCGGAUCGUAAAACUCUGUUAUUAGGGAAGAACAUAUGUGUAAGUAACUGUGCACAUCUUGACGGUACCUAAUCAGAAAGCCACGGCUAACUACGUGCCAGCAGCCGCGGUAAUACGUAGGUGGCAAGCGUUAUCCGGAAUUAUUGGGCGUAAAGCGCGCGUAGGCGGUUUUUUAAGUCUGAUGUGAAAGCCCACGGCUCAACCGUGGAGGGUCAUUGGAAACUGGAAAACUUGAGUGCAGAAGAGGAAAGUGGAAUUCCAUGUGUAGCGGUGAAAUGCGCAGAGAUAUGGAGGAACACCAGUGGCGAAGGCGACUUUCUGGUCUGUAACUGACGCUGAUGUGCGAAAGCGUGGGGAUCAAACAGGAUUAGAUACCCUGGUAGUCCACGCCGUAAACGAUGAGUGCUAAGUGUUAGGGGGUUUCCGCCCCUUAGUGCUGCAGCUAACGCAUUAAGCACUCCGCCUGGGGAGUACGACCGCAAGGUUGAAACUCAAAGGAAUUGACGGGGACCCGCACAAGCGGUGGAGCAUGUGGUUUAAUUCGAAGCAACGCGAAGAACCUUACCAAAUCUUGACAUCCUUUGACAACUCUAGAGAUAGAGCCUUCCCCUUCGGGGGACAAAGUGACAGGUGGUGCAUGGUUGUCGUCAGCUCGUGUCGUGAGAUGUUGGGUUAAGUCCCGCAACGAGCGCAACCCUUAAGCUUAGUUGCCAUCAUUAAGUUGGGCACUCUAAGUUGACUGCCGGUGACAAACCGGAGGAAGGUGGGGAUGACGUCAAAUCAUCAUGCCCCUUAUGAUUUGGGCUACACACGUGCUACAAUGGACAAUACAAAGGGCAGCGAAACCGCGAGGUCAAGCAAAUCCCAUAAAGUUGUUCUCAGUUCGGAUUGUAGUCUGCAACUCGACUACAUGAAGCUGGAAUCGCUAGUAAUCGUAGAUCAGCAUGCUACGGUGAAUACGUUCCCGGGUCUUGUACACACCGCCCGUCACACCACGAGAGUUUGUAACACCCGAAGCCGGUGGAGUAACCUUUUAGGAGCUAGCCGUCGAAGGUGGGACAAAUGAUUGGGGUGAAGUCGUAACAAGGUAGCCGUAUCGGAAGGUGCGGCUGGAUCACCU
RNAcentral lists this ribosomal RNA (1541 nucleotides) under Staphylococcus aureus. RNAcentral describes it as "16S ribosomal RNA". It matches the Rfam family "Bacterial small subunit ribosomal RNA". Lineage: Bacteria; Bacillati; Bacillota; Bacilli; Caryophanales; Staphylococcaceae. The record is from RNAcentral.